Unclassified non-coding RNA from Gorilla gorilla gorilla (western lowland gorilla), 264 nucleotides. It matches the Rfam family "Metazoan signal recognition particle RNA". Rfam says of the family: The signal recognition particle (SRP) is a universally conserved ribonucleoprotein. It is involved in the co-translational targeting of proteins to membranes. The record is from Ensembl. Lineage: Eukaryota; Metazoa; Chordata; Mammalia; Primates; Hominidae.
GCCAGGCAUGAUGGCAGGUGCCUGUAAUCCCAGCUACUCAGGAGGCUGAGGCAGGAGAAUCACUUGAACCUGGGAGGUGGAGGUUGCAGUGAGCCAGGAUCGGGCCACUGCAUUCCGGCCUGGAUGACAGAGCGAGGCUCUGUCUCAAAAAAAAAAAAAAACAAAAAAACAGGGCCUCACUUUGUCGCCCAGGCUGGAGGCCAGUGUUGAAUGUUGGCUCACUGCAACCUCUGCCUCUUGGGUUCAAGCAAUCCUCCUGCCUCA